RNAcentral lists this small RNA (132 nucleotides) under Caenorhabditis brenneri. RNAcentral's name for it is "sRNA CBN34350". Lineage: Eukaryota; Metazoa; Nematoda; Chromadorea; Rhabditida; Rhabditidae. The record is from RNAcentral.
UUUGAAAGCGAGUUAUGCGCCUUUAAAGUUGGAUGUCAUAGAAUGAGAGGCGGCAGAGAAAACUACUCCCUCUUUCUCUGCGCCUCUCACUCUCUCACCUCCAACUUAAAAGGCACAUAACUCGCGACAAAA